RNAcentral lists this unclassified non-coding RNA (439 nucleotides) under uncultured Gomphales. RNAcentral's name for it is "sequence contains ITS2". The stretch from base 1 to 155 matches the Rfam family "5.8S ribosomal RNA". Lineage: Eukaryota; Fungi; Basidiomycota; Agaricomycetes. The record is from RNAcentral.
AACUUUUGGCAAUGGAUCUCUUGGCUUUCGCAUCGAUGAAGAACGCCGCGAAAGUGCGAAACGUAAUGAGAAUUGCAGAAUUCAGUGAAUCAUCGAAUCUUUGAACGCAUCUUGCGCUCCUUGGUAUUCCGAGGAGCAUGCCUGUUUGAGUGUCGUGAACCUUCUCAACCCUUCCCUUCUUUUAGGGCUCUCGGGUUGGAUUUGGACGCUUGCCGUGGGUUUCGACCUUUCGGCUCGUCUUGAAAUGCAUCAGCUGGUCCGCCGCGCGAGUUUGGUAUUAACAACGGUGUGAUAAGAAACGCUUCGUGACUGUAGCGCCGUUUCGCCGACUCGUUGGAGGGGCCGCUUCCAACCGUCUUAGGACAAACCUUUCACUUCAUCUGACCUCAAAUCAGGUAGGACUACCCGCUGAACUUAAGCAUAUCAAUAAGCGGAGGCU